Long non-coding RNA from Ictalurus punctatus (channel catfish), 2881 nucleotides. NCBI's taxonomy places the organism in Eukaryota, Metazoa, Chordata, Actinopteri, Siluriformes, Ictaluridae. The record is from Ensembl.
UCUGGUCUGUGCGCUUGAAGCGACUUUUAAAGCUUAAAAUUCGAACUUUAUAAUCGUGCUGCGUUAGUACCUACCUCUCUCUGUCAAACUCAACGCCGACUGACGAGAAACCGGAAAUGACGCGAUACAUCCGCUGCCAACCAGAAAAGAGCGCUAUAACACGAAUAAAGUACUCCCAGGAACAGCAAACUAUUAAAUAACUGCGAAGGAUUUUGGCGAAAUUAAUAGAUUUUACGGCGCAACACAUGCCAUGGAAAAAAAACCCACAAAUAAAAAAUAAUACAUUUUAUUUCCCAUAUCUGUUACACUUAUACAGGCGUCAUCUGGACUCCGCGCCCACCGGAAACGGAAUUUAGCAGCUCGACAAGGCGGGCAGGGUUUAAUGACGCUAUUUUCGUUGAACGUACAGACCUGCAAAUAUCCCAGGGAGCAUUGGGCACAAGGCAGGGAACACCCUAGUUGGUUGUUGGUGUUGUCAGUGGUGUUGUGACUCCUGCCAGAGGGAACGCCACCACAUUGUCCUGCAGAAACAUUUCUGCUGGUGAUAUUUACACGUACCCAGUGCCGUCUUAUAUACCAUCUGCUGUACUGUGGAACAAGGACUGUGAGCAAGAGUGUUACAAUGAGGAAGGGGAGUUUUUGUCAGAUGGACGACAACAAGCAAAUAAAACUGAGCACCUACUGGUUCUUAAUGAAACCAUAAACAUCGCAGUCUCUGAAUGCAUCAAUCUUCACCAUUCUGUGACCUGUCAUGGAUCAAAUGAAAAGUUUAAACACACUUACCGAGUGAUCAAUGACACGAUCUCAAGCCAAGAUGUUCCUAAGCAGCAAACCGAUCGCACCACCACCAUCGUCUCUGUCGUCAUUCCGAUUGGACUCCUGCUGAUUGGACUCCUGAUUAGUGUCCUGAUAUGUCUCCACAAAAAACGAAGAUUGAGAAUUGGAGUCUGGGGGAAACGGUUGAGUGGCUGCUGUCAACAAACAGAUGAGACUAAGGAAUCAGACAUCCCACUGGAGGACAUUACAGCAAGAAACACGGAAGGUGAAGCUCAACUGAACACCUCAAAUACUGAAAACAUGGACCCUGGUGAUACGAGCGCUAACGGCGAUGUUCAAACUGAAGAAGCUCGACCACUCCAACCAUAUCCUUACAGUUGAUGUGUGCAGAGUCGUCGAGAGCGAGUGAGGAUUACGGUUCGGCUUCAGAACUUCUCUCCAGUCUGCUUCUGCCUUUUCUUCAGUCGCACUUUCCCUACACUUUUGCAUCUGGGACACUUUGAAAGUAAAAUUAAGUAGUUAAACUGAGACCGUGGUAUUAUAGGGCUCUACAUAAAAGUGCCAAAUUUUUAAUCAUGACAAAGCAGAUCAAAUUUUUAUACUUUAAUAGUGUUUUGGUGUAAAAAAUAUAUUUUCAUAUAUAUUACUUGCUAUAAAAAUAACAUUUAUAAGAACUAAUUUUUGCCAAAGAAAGGGAAGCUCAAACCAAAGAACCCCAAGAAAAAAAAAAAAACACUUUUCUGCACUUUAAAACACUGCACAUCCUUCUGCACUUUUGUUAUGCUCUACCCUUUUAACUGUGACGAUAGCUGGGGCUGGGCAGCUUCGAGUUGUCAACACUCACCUGAUUGCGCUCCUGGUUUUGACUGCUUCAUCCGAUCCGUGUUUUACUCUGCUAUUUCCGGUAUUGAACUGUGCCAGUUGUGACUAUGAACUUGAUCUUUGCCUUGAUUUUUGUUGGCUACGUAGCUACUGUGUGUGGGAGGCUGCACCAGAACAUCUCUACUACCCUACUACACAGUAGAUGAAAAGCAGUACACCAAAGGAGGAGCAUCUCAGAAUUCUCAGCAUUCAUACAACAGUAUUUAAGAAAUCCCCAGAUGACCUACUGCUUCCCCCGAGAUUCUGCAGUGUGGAAUAACUGGACACUGUGCUAUCCCAUAAUGCAACGUGGCAUGGAAGAGCUGUCAGAAUCAAACCUGGCGCAUCGGCUUUUUAAGCUGUAGGUCACAUGACUAUGCCAACCUGGUGGCUGUAGUGCUUAUAAGCCCUUUCCUUAACUUGCACUGUGGGGCCAAACCUUAGACUGGGUUGUCAUCAACACUACUCUACGUCAUUGAAUCAACGCUAUAGAGAGCACAGCUGGUGGCUUCAUCAGCAGCCCAGUGCUUGUUCCUUUUUAUUUUCUCAUUGUGAUUGACCUUUGCUAUCUCCUUUAUUUUUUAUGUCUGUAAUUUUUUUUGUGCAUGUGUAAAUUUGUUAGCAUUCUUUAUAUACUGUUACCAGGUGUAGGGUUCAGCUGCCAUUUCUUUCUGGGUUUUGUCUGUUUUAUUUUAUUUUUAUUUAUUUUAUAUUACCAAUAUUGCACAAGUAUGUGUGUAUGUAAUUCAUAAACCGAAGUAUUCUUAGUAGUCUUUUUUUCUUUUUCUUUAGCCAUCCAUCUUUUAUCCCAGUCAAACCUAUCCUGUUAUCUUCAACCCUAGACUGGGGUGCAUCACUGUCCUCCAUUCCAGAAAAUCUGAGACAGCAACAAAAGAGAGACAAUUUUUAGAAAGUAACAAGUCUGUUUUUACAGAAGGAAGGGAAUUGGUGGCGCAACCUAUCAUAACCCUGUAACAGGAAGUCUUAUUUCUGCCCCCAUAAUGGUGAAAUUUAACUUGGCUCAGGAGCAGAUCGAGUGGAAAGUAAAGUGCACAUGUCUCAGUGCUUCUGAUAUUUUAACAAAAAUAUAUUUGGACGCUCAAUUCGUUACCCCACUCUCACUAAUAAACUCUCUCUGUGUGUGUGUAUGUGUGAGAGCAAGAGAGAGAUUGAUAACACCUGUCUGUUCAGAUCUGUGACACAAGUUAGUAAGAAAAUAAAGUUGAUAAUAAGUAAGCAAGAG